UUAAACGUCCAUAGCGCGUUGAAUACACCGGUUCAUGUCCGAUCCCCGAAAUUAAGCAACGUCGGGUGCGGUCAGUACUUGGAUGUGUGACCGCCUGGGAACACUGCGUGACGUUGGCU
This 119-nucleotide ribosomal RNA is filed under the name Melitaea cinxia (Glanville fritillary). The record is from RNAcentral. Lineage: Eukaryota; Metazoa; Arthropoda; Insecta; Lepidoptera; Nymphalidae.